Molecule: small nuclear RNA, 156 nt
Organism: Anguilla rostrata (American eel)
Lineage: Eukaryota; Metazoa; Chordata; Actinopteri; Anguilliformes; Anguillidae
Product: U1 spliceosomal RNA
Exons: 1
Source: RefSeq, a predicted model, not a curated record
AUACUUACCUGGCAGGAGAUACCAUGAUCAAGAAGGUGGUUCACCCAGGCGAGGCUCAGCCAUUGCACUCCGGUUGUGCUGGACUCUCAAUUCCCCAAAUGUGGGAAUCCUCACCGCAUAUUUCUGGUAGUGGGGACUGCGCCCCCGCCUCCCCGA